AACAGCUCCCACUCUUCACACGAUCUGUCAAUCAAUGCAUCUAUUACUUCCAUUGUGAAUCUUGACUAUAAAUAGGUCAGCAUCAAUCCGUCAAAAUCAUAACGCUUGGAGACUACAACGUUGGUUUCUGCUGAAAGCUUGCGGUGUUGAUGGAUUUCCGAUGAUACUGGCCAGUUGGAUGCACAUGAAUUUCACAAAAUCAGGAAUUAAGGGCAAAUUCCUUUCUUGGUUUGCACCGGUCAAGAGUUAAUUUGUCUCAGAAGAGAUCCUGAAGAAUGCACCAGUUCCUGCGAUUGUUCAUGCGAUUGUUUGCCAGAACUAUGUCGAUUUUGUUUUGUUUGGUAAAAUAUGAGUCAUUUCCUCAGAUUUUUUUCUUCAUCAGAAGCCUCACUAAGAAGGAACCAGUUCCUAAGAUUGUUCCAGUGGCCGCUUUGUGAUGUUCUUUACCUUAAGCAGUUGAAUCACUUGAAAAAGUAUUAAAGAAGAAGAAUUAAGUAAAGGGAAGAUUCAGUGCUGAAAAGAGUAUCAGCUGCAGUCACCAUUUGGAUUUGUUUUAGACGACAUAUCCACAGAUUUGGGUUUGUUCAUCAUAAAGAUCAGUUGGAUCUAUUAAACGAAGAUGAUACUAAAGCCGUCAACAAAAAACAAGUUGCAAGAAAAUGUUGAGAUCGGCAGAGGACAAAAUGACUUAAAACUAUAAGAAUCUUACAACUAUAAGUUGCAAGCUUUGUGAUGUUCUUUACCACAAGGAAGACAAGUAAAUUACGAUUUAGUUGGUUUGUUUUCA
Brassica napus (rape) is the source of this 787-nucleotide long non-coding RNA. RefSeq lists it as uncharacterized. The record is from RefSeq and is a predicted model, not a curated record. The transcript is spliced from 2 exons. Lineage: Eukaryota; Viridiplantae; Streptophyta; Magnoliopsida; Brassicales; Brassicaceae.